CAGUCGCCGCGGGAAUACGUAGGUCCCGAGCGUUGUCCGGAUUUAUUGGGCGUAAAGCGAGCGCAGGCGGUUAGAUAAGUCUGAAGUUAAAGGCAGUGGCUUAACCAUAGUACGCUUUGGAAACUGUUUAACUUGAGUGCAAGAGGGGAGAGUGGAAUUCCAUGUGUAGCGGUGAAAUGCGUAGAUAUAUGGAGGAACACCGGUGGCAAAAGCGGCUCUCUGGCUUGUAACUGACGCUGAGGCUCGAAAGCGUGGGGAGCAAACAGGAUUAGAUACCCCCGUAGUCCCUGUCUCUUAUACA
This 301-nucleotide ribosomal RNA is filed under the name uncultured bacterium. Its description in RNAcentral is "partial 16S ribosomal RNA". It matches the Rfam family "Bacterial small subunit ribosomal RNA", at positions 509 to 808 of the family's 1533-position model. The record is from RNAcentral.